UACGUAGGGUGCAAGCGUUGUCCGGAAUUAUUGGGCGUAAAGAGCUCGUAGGCGGUCUGUCGCGUCUGCUGUGAAAACUCGGGGCUUAACCCCGGGCCUGCAGUGGGUACGGGCAGACUAGAGUGCGGUAGGGGAGACUGGAAUUCCUGGUGUAGCGGUGAAAUGCGCGAUAUCAGGAGGAACACCGGUGGCGAAGGCGGCUGCUGGGCCAGUUCUGACGCUGGAGGAGCGAAAGCGUGGGGAGCGAACAGG
This 252-nucleotide ribosomal RNA is filed under the name uncultured bacterium. RNAcentral's name for it is "partial 16S ribosomal RNA". It matches the Rfam family "Bacterial small subunit ribosomal RNA", at positions 524 to 776 of the family's 1533-position model. The record is from RNAcentral.